GACGAACGCUGGCGGCGUGCCUAAUACAUGCAAGUAGAACGCACAGUUUAUACCGUAGCUUGCUACACCAUAAACUGUGAGUUGCGAACGGGUGAGUAACGCGUAGGUAACCUGCCUGGUAGCGGGGGAUAACUAUUGGAAACGAUAGCUAAUACCGCAUAAUAUUGAUUAUUGCAUGAUAAUUGAUUGAAAGAUGCUAUUGCAUCACUACCAGAUGGACCUGCGUUGUAUUAGCUAGUAGGUGAGGUAACGGCUCACCUAGGCGACGAUACAUAGCCGACCUGAGAGGGUGAUCGGCCACGCUGGGACUGAGACACGGCCCAGACUCCUACGGGAGGCAGCAGUAGGGAAUCUUCGGCAAUGGACGAAAGUCUGACCGAGCAACGCCGCGUGAGUGAAGAAGGUUUUCGGAUCGUAAAGCUCUGUUGUAAGAGAAGAACGGGUGUGAGAGUGGAAAGUUCACACUGUGACGGUAUCUUACCAGAAAGGGACGGCUAACUACGUG
Molecule: ribosomal RNA, 505 nt
Filed under: uncultured bacterium
Lineage: Bacteria
Description: partial 16S ribosomal RNA
Rfam family: Bacterial small subunit ribosomal RNA
Source: RNAcentral